RNAcentral lists this transfer RNA (59 nucleotides) under Arctopsyche sp. XG-2022. RNAcentral's name for it is "tRNA-Arg". The record is from RNAcentral. Lineage: Eukaryota; Metazoa; Arthropoda; Insecta; Trichoptera; Hydropsychidae.
UAAUAAGAUUAAUAAAAUUAGUUUCGACCUAAAAAAAGGAAAAUAUUUUCCCUUAUUUU